RNAcentral lists this microRNA precursor (102 nucleotides) under Pristionchus pacificus. RNAcentral describes it as "microRNA ppc-mir-2264 precursor". The record is from miRBase by way of RNAcentral. Lineage: Eukaryota; Metazoa; Nematoda; Chromadorea; Rhabditida; Neodiplogasteridae.
GCACAGUCCACGCCGCGGGUAUCACAGCGCACAACGGCGAUGAGUGUCACUGUACGAAAUAUCCCCGGAUGCGCACUGUGAAGCCCGCGGAUGGACCACUGC